This 1569-nucleotide ribosomal RNA is filed under the name Triticum aestivum (bread wheat). RNAcentral's name for it is "partial small subunit ribosomal RNA". The record is from RNAcentral. Lineage: Eukaryota; Viridiplantae; Streptophyta; Magnoliopsida; Poales; Poaceae.
AUGCUCCGCCUGCUCCCGCUCACCCUCUCCACCCAGUGCCGGAGCGGCGGCCCGCCGCCGCACCGCUGCUUCGUCGACGGCGGCUCGCCGUCCCAGAGAGCCGGGCCAGGGCUCCUCGCGAACAACGGAGUUCGCGUUAGAGUCCGGAGGCGAGCGCUCCGCGGGGCAGACGUCCAGCCGGACACCCCGCCAUCGCGCAGGGACGGGGAUAAGCCGCUGCACGCGGAUGCCGAACAGGUGGAGGGCAGCGGCGUGGAGCUGCUGGACUCGGUAAGGAAGCUGCUGCUGAAGGACGCCGAGCCGGGGGAGGAGGAGCAGGGGCAGUUCCCCAAGCGCUGGGCCAUUGUCUUCCUCUGCUUCUCCGCCUUCCUCCUCUGCAACAUGGACCGCGUAAACAUGAGCAUUGCCAUCAUGCCCAUGUCCGCGGAGUACGGCUGGAACCCGCAAACCGUCGGCCUCAUCCAGUCGUCCUUCUUUUGGGGCUACCUCCUAACUCAGAUAGCAGGAGGGAUAUGGGCAGACAAAGUUGGGGGGAAGACUGUUCUUGGUUUCGGGGUGAUUUGGUGGUCGGUCGCCACAGCUCUUACGCCUGUGGCGGCAAAGCUAGGCUUGCCAUUUCUCCUUGUUGUGCGUGCUUUUAUGGGAAUUGGAGAGGGGGUUGCCAUGCCCGCAAUGAAUAAUAUACUUUCAAAAUGGGUUCCUGUAUCAGAGAGGAGCAGAUCAUUAGCUCUUGUAUAUAGUGGGAUGUACCUAGGGUCAGUGACAGGACUCGCAUUUUCGCCAUUUCUGAUACACAAGUUUGGGUGGCCAUCAGUCUUCUAUUCCUUCGGCUCUCUUGGGACUGUCUGGUUCGCGACAUGGGCGGCCAAGGCUUAUAGUACUCCACUUGAGGAUCCGGGGAUUAGUGCUGAAGAAAAGAAGCUUAUCAUUAGUCAAACCACAUCAGGAGAGCCUGUUACAACAAUUCCAUGGGGAGUAAUAUUGUCAAAACCGCCUGUUUGGGCACUUAUAGCUUGCCACUUUUGCCAUAACUGGGGAACUUUUAUCUUGCUCACAUGGAUGCCUACGUACUACAACCAGGUUUUGAAAUUCAACCUCACGGAGUCCAGCCUUUUCUGCGUCCUUCCCUGGCUAACAAUGGCGAUUUCUGCAAAUGUUGGUGGUUGGAUUGCAGACACACUUGUUAGUAGAGGAACAUCAGUGACAACGGUUCGCAAGAUCAUGCAAUCAAUUGGUUUCUUAGGGCCAGCCUUUUUUCUCAGUCAACUGAGCCAUAUCGAUUCACCAGCACUGGCAGUUUUGUGCAUGGCUUGUAGCCAGGGAAGUGAUGCAUUUUCUCAGUCUGGUCUAUACUCAAAUCAUCAAGAUAUCGGUCCUCGAUACGCCGGUGUACUACUUGGUCUCUCCAACACAGCUGGGGUUCUAGCUGGUGUAUUUGGCACAGCAGCAACCGGAUACAUCUUGCAGCAUGGUUCUUGGGACGAUGUCUUCAAAUUGUCUGUAACUCUUUAUCUUGUUGGAACUGUGAUAUGGAAUUUAUUUUCAACCGGCGAGAAAAUUAUCGAUUGA